Molecule: non-coding RNA, 1421 nt
Organism: Dermacentor albipictus
Lineage: Eukaryota; Metazoa; Arthropoda; Arachnida; Ixodida; Ixodidae
Source: RefSeq, a predicted model, not a curated record
GUGCGAGCUGCGUCGAUGUGUUUGUUUGACCGUGUGUUAUUAGGUUUGCUGUAAUGAAAUGAGACGUAGUUCGCGAGCACGAAAGUGCCAGAAGAUGGCUUGAGUCUCGCUGUAAGCACGCCGUAUGCGUGGCGCGCCAGCUAAAUGUGGACCAACGAUUUUCAUGCCAUGGAGUGCGUUCCCUUUGUCUCCGCUUGUGUUCGUGGAAAGUUUGGUGGACGGCGCAGAGAAGUAAUGCGUAUUAUUAGCGCGCCUCAGCUCGUCCACUACCCAGUGGCUUGUUUGCUGCAAGUAACAUCGCAGACGCAUCACUGGAAACUUGGAGAGUGCCUUUCGACCUCGCCGUACUGUUGAAACGUGGCGAGGCCGUGACCCACAACAUAAACUACAAGAUCGAGGAGCCCCAAGAAAUGCAGACCCUGUGGAUAUAUGGCUGCAGCAGCACGGCGUGUGAUCUGGAUCGUCAUGACAGGCUCCACCGUCGCCGUUACUAGACGGACCAAAUGAGGCCAAAAACUAGCCUUUCCUUGCUCCAUUCCUGGGAAGUGAAAUAGCAGGUGGUCAUGUAAGAAUGAACUUGCAACCAUGUGGGCAGUAGCCAAAGCUCCCUACAGUUCAUGCUGGUGGUGGAAUGAUAAGACAAACCGCAAUAUUUAUUUCUUUACUUAUUCACUUAAUAUUUAUUUAUUCAUAUCUCAUGAAUACUGUGCAGUUUUUUUAGCAAGGAGUCAGGUAAAAUAAAGAAAUAUUGUUGCAUCAAAGUAAACAUUUGAAAAAGCAUAAUUCACGUAGCACGAAUUCAUGGAAACUAAAUUUUGAAGAAACAGAGCAGUAAGGUUAACAAAUCUUAUAUAACAAAAAUGAGAUAACAUUUCUGUUGGACCUAAUACCAUAAUUUAAUCUGUCAAAUUAGAGAUACCAUAUGCUGCUCUAAUAUACAAUCACUAAUUUAUGAGUAGAUGCGCGAAACUCUCAAACGUAGCAACAAUUUCAUGCAAUCUGUAAAUUCAUAUAUACAGUUUGUUGACUUUAGACAUAGCAGAUGGAGUCUGCAGAACUAUGAUAUCUCUUUCUGGCACAGAGACGGGGAUUAGUAAGCUUCGUGGUGUUAUUUUUCUUAAACCUGCCAAAUAGUUCUUCCUGCAACAGGUAGAAUUCUCAAAUGCCGCAAACUUAAUUCAAAUUAGUGCUGUGGUUGUCUCAAAAGUAUUUCUGUAUUUUGGAUGUAUUUGAGUAGGAAAAUUUACAGAAUUAACGAACUUGUGCUAGCUCUUUUUUUUAUUUACAGUUGCAAACUAAGUCCUUUUCCUUCAAGUUUUGCUAUUUUCAGCAAAUUUUAAUAAAAAUUGAUGGUGUUAAUGUAAAAACUAUAAUUUAAACAUUUCUAAAUGUAUCAAACCUCAUCAAAUUUGGUUGCAUAG